Molecule: long non-coding RNA, 295 nt
Filed under: Mytilus galloprovincialis (Mediterranean mussel)
Lineage: Eukaryota; Metazoa; Mollusca; Bivalvia; Mytilida; Mytilidae
Source: RNAcentral
GUCUACUACGUUUGUUGACACUCGACGGUCCACCGUGUUAGCAAUUUUAUUUCACAUGUUUUCGAAAUAUUGAAGAUCAUUUUUCGCAAUGUUUCCUGAAAAUUGAUAAAUAUCAAAGCAACGUAGAGCUGUUUGUUCUUGUUCGUAUAAUAAAAUUGAGAAUGGAAAUGGGGAAUUUGUCAAAGAGACAACAACCCCGACCAUAGAAAAACAUACAACAGCAGAAUUAAGGUCACCAACAGGUCUUCAAUGCAGCGAAAAAAUUCCCGCACCCGGAGGCGUCCUUCAGCUGGCC